Molecule: ribosomal RNA, 429 nt
Filed under: uncultured bacterium
Lineage: Bacteria
Description: bacterial SSU rRNA
Rfam family: Bacterial small subunit ribosomal RNA
Source: RNAcentral
UGGGGAAUAUUGCGCAAUGGGCGAAAGCCUGACGCAGCGACGCCGCGUGGGUGAUGAAGGCCUUCGGGUCGUAAAACCCUGUCGGGUGGAACGAAUUCCACCUCGCUAAUACCGAGGUGGCUUGACGGUACCACCGAAGGAAGCCCCGGCUAACUACGUGCCAGCAGCCGCGGUAAUACGUAGGGGGCGAGCGUUGUUCGGAUUUACUGGGCGUAAAGAGCGCGUAGGCGGUUCGAUAAGUCAGAGGUGAAAUCCCUCGGCUCAACCGAGGACCCGCGUCCGAUACUGUCGAACUUGAGUGCAGGAGAGGAGAGCGGAAUUCCCAGUGUAGCGGUGAAAUGCGUAGAUAUUGGGAGGAACACCGGUGGCGAAGGCGGCUCUCUGGACUGUCACUGACGCUGAGGCGCGAAAGCUAGGGGAGCAAACGGG